This 326-nucleotide RNase P RNA is filed under the name chicken gut metagenome. Its description in RNAcentral is "Bacterial RNase P class A". It matches the Rfam family "Bacterial RNase P class A". Rfam says of the family: Ribonuclease P (RNase P) is a ubiquitous endoribonuclease, found in archaea, bacteria and eukarya as well as chloroplasts and mitochondria. Its best characterised activity is the generation of mature 5'-ends of tRNAs by cleaving the 5'-leader elements of precursor-tRNAs. Cellular RNase Ps are ribonucleoproteins. The record is from RNAcentral.
AGGCGGGUAAUCGCGCAAAAAUAUUUUUUUGUGAGGAAAGUCCGAACAUCCAAAGUACGGGACCGCUUGGGAAAGCCAAGUGCGCGCGAGCGUGAGGAAAGUGCCACAGAAAAGAAGACUACAAAUUUAUUUUGUACAGGUGCAACGGCGAGGUAAAAGCUCACCGCCGCUUUUGUGAGAAAGCGGGUCAUGGUAAACCCCGGUCGGAUGCAAGUUUGAGUUUGCAAGAAGAAUCGUACUUUUCGCUUAUUUUAAUAAGAUUGCAAGAAAAAAACGCAUUAGACAGAUGAUUACCUUAAACAGAAUUCGGCUUACAGCCUGCUUUU